This is a non-coding RNA of Pelobates cultripes (western spadefoot toad), 541 nucleotides long. The record is from the annotation of a GenBank genome assembly. Lineage: Eukaryota; Metazoa; Chordata; Amphibia; Anura; Pelobatidae.
UUUUUUGAGGGGCCUGUUUGCCAGCCUCCUGCCCUGCGACUAUGGCUCUGGAAAGUUUUGCCCUUCUUGGGAACUUAUUUGGGGCUUAUUGACUUGUAUUGGACUGUAUAUGGCCAUUUAAAGACUGUAUUUGGGCAUAAUGGAUUUUUAUUGUGCUGUUUCUGGCCCUUUAAGUACUUUGGGAAAGGACCUGCAGUUUUGGCACGCACUUCGGAUGCUGUCGAAGUGGCCGCCAUUAGAAAACCGAACACGUGGCCGCAGCCAUUUUGAUUCAUUCGAAUAUGAUUAGCGGUGUGUGCCGUCAAACUCAUGAAAAUAAAAUCGGCUACAGAACGGCACAAACACCGCUGAAGUUUUACCUUCCCUGGAACUAAUGCAUUUGACAGUUCGACAAUUCAAAUAGUUGUUGUUCGUCUGUUUGAACUGACUCUAACAUGGGAAAUAGACCGGCCGCACAGCCUGAUUCUCUGGAACUGUUUUGGGCAUGAAAAUGUGCUUGUGGUCGGUCAUAAAAGGACUUCCAGCUAACUUUUUAACCCCU